UCUAGGAGCAGGCUAGCCGGCGGGGGAGGGGGAUUCAGCAGGGGCAGAGAGGCCGAGGGGACCCGAUCCUGAGCGAGACGCAGGAGGUUCUGGUGCGGCGAGGAGGCACUGGGACGGGCGGGCCGCCGGGGAAACCCAGCGCCGGGACGGCAGCGGGCACCGCCGCCCUUGACAUCUCGCCCAGCCGGCCAUUGUACGGAUCUAUCGAAGGCCAGAUUGGAAACGGGGUUGGGGCAGCAAUAGAUCUCAGGUGUUCAUCUGUAAUCCGUCAUCAUAUGCAGGUAAGAUGGCAGGCUGGCUUGAUCCGUAUUUAUCGAACGGGGUUGGGGCACAUUUAUCGAACGAUGUCCUUGCGAGGAAAGGCUGGCCUCACAAUCCGUCAUGCUCUCUAUGCAAUGGGCCAAUGGAGGAUGUCGUGCACCUGCUAGCUUCCUGUCCCGUCUCCAUCCGAAUUUGGCACGACAUUAUUGCUCGCUGCAACCUUCAUCCGGGCCUCGCUCCCUCCACCACCAUAACUUCCCUGGUGCUUUGGAUCAAGCAGUCCAAUGGCAUCAUUACGGCAUCAGCAAAGAAGCCAUGGAGCGCACUCGUACAGCUGGUUUGGUGGUCGAUAUGGAACGAAUGCAAUGCAAGGAUAUUCAGAAACCAACGAUCGCCGCAGACGACUGUGGUGGAACGGAUGAUUGAAGAGGCAGCGGUCUGGCAAAGGGCGGGACGGUUCAAGGCCAUCUCCCUCCUCAACAGACCAAGAGAACCAGACUAGGAAAGCUUACUUCAGGCAAAAGAGAAGGCAUGUCCACCUAGCGAAGGACUGCACAUGUAAAGCUGCUGUAACUAAACUCUCUAUAACCACCACCACCACCCCCCCCCCCCCCCCCCCGCGCCGCGCAUCAAUGAAAAGCUGCUCCAUCAGCAUUUUCGUUAAAAAACAUUUACUCUGGCUGUCUUGACUAGUCUUGGUAAGGUGGAUCGAAUGGACAUAUUAGCUGAUACGUUCCUAUCGUGGAUUAAUCAAUGUUUACAGUUAGGCUUUUUGGGUGUAUGGGACGGGCCAAGGUGCAAGUCUGAAUUUCGACAAUAUGUAAAGCUCACCAAUACAUAAGGGCUAUUAACAGACUAAGGUGUGCGAAUAAGGGUUCUUCUGACGUGAGGCAGAGAGCAGACCAGAGUCAGUCCAACCUGGAUAAUCAUGCAGGUACUGUAUUCUUGCCCCAGUAUCAGUCGCAGUGUACAUGGGCUUGGUUGUGAAAGGUGUACAGAAAGUGGGUAGUUCUUGGCGCAGAUGACUAGAUUUUGCAGAUUGCAUAUCUAUGAUGUGCAAAGUACAGCCAUGUACUCCUUGGAUGCAAGAUACAACAUUGGUUGUUUUUGUUCAGUGGAGAGUGCGACACGAUUGAUGAUGUGUGUAGCACGAUUGCGGCAGUACCUCCAUGUCCAUCUAUUUUAAUGUUUAUGGAAAUUA
Molecule: long non-coding RNA, 1462 nt
Organism: Triticum aestivum (bread wheat)
Lineage: Eukaryota; Viridiplantae; Streptophyta; Magnoliopsida; Poales; Poaceae
Exons: 3
Source: RefSeq, a predicted model, not a curated record